RNAcentral lists this non-coding RNA (79 nucleotides) under Perkinsus marinus ATCC 50983. RNAcentral describes it as "Eukaryotic large subunit ribosomal RNA". It matches the Rfam family "Eukaryotic large subunit ribosomal RNA", at positions 1 to 81 of the family's 3401-position model. The record is from Rfam by way of RNAcentral. Lineage: Eukaryota; Perkinsozoa; Perkinsida; Perkinsidae.
AAAGGCUGAUGUGUGUGAGAUUACCCGCUGAAUUAAGCAUAUAAGUAAGCGGAGGAAAAGAAACUACUAGGAUCCCUUA